This 117-nucleotide ribosomal RNA is filed under the name Clostridia bacterium. Lineage: Bacteria; Bacillati; Bacillota; Clostridia. The record is from RNAcentral.
UCCGGUGACGAUAGCAACGAGGAUCCACCUGUUCCCAUUCCGAACACAGAAGUUAAGCUCGUUUACGUCAAAAGUACUUAGCGGGCCACCGCUCGGGAGGAUAGAUAGUUGCCGGAU